This is an RNA transcript of Eucalyptus grandis, 681 nucleotides long. It is a transcript of the gene named protein argonaute 4-like, with no coding region annotated. The transcript is spliced from 7 exons. The record is from RefSeq and is a predicted model, not a curated record. NCBI's taxonomy places the organism in Eukaryota, Viridiplantae, Streptophyta, Magnoliopsida, Myrtales, Myrtaceae.
UAUUAGUUUCAAGUGAAGGAUCAGAUUGGAGCGUAGCAACUAUGAUUCUGAACCUAUGCUGCGUUCAUGCGGUAUAACAAUUAGCAAUAGCUUUACUCAAGUUGAAGGCCGCGUUCUACCGGCUCCUAAGCUAAACGUGGGCAAUGGAGAGGAUUUCUUCCCCCGCAAUGGACGGUGGAGCUUUCAGAGUAAGAAAUUUGUUGAGCCAGCUAAGAUACAGAAAUGGGCUGUGGUGAACUUCUCUGCUCGGUGUGACAUGCGUGGGCUUAUAAGAGACCUGACUAGAUUAGCUGAAAUGAAAGGACUUCUCACCGAACAACCUUUUGACGUGUUUGAAGAAAGCCCCCAAUUCAGAAGAGCCCCUCCUGCUGUUAGAGUGGAUAAAAUGUUUGAGGAGAUACAAGCUAAACUACCUGGGGUGCCGCUCUUCCUCAAAAGACUAAAUUAUCCUGUGCAGCAAAAGCAGCAUGGCUCUGUCACUGUGUCUUUUAGAGAUGGGAUACUCAAUCCAAUUGGAGACAGGGUACGUUAGUUCCCAGCACAGCAAGAAACUUUCGAUUUGAUUAAGGCAAAGAUCAUUUAGAAUGAAGUGUGUCGUUCAAAUGACAGCUUGUUUAUUACUUCUAAAAUGCUGUUUGCUGUUUGUGUUAUAUUAUCUUCAAUGAAUGACAAGUUUGUUUA